CCUACGGGUGGCAGCAGUGAGGAAUAUUGGUCAAUGGCCGAGAGGCUGAACCAGCCAAGUCGCGUGAGGGAAGAAUGUCCUAUGGAUUGUAAACCUCUUUUGUCAGGGAGCAAAGUCACCCACGCGUGGGCGUUGGAGAGUACCUGAAGAAACAGCAUCGGCUAACUCCGUGCCAGCAGCCGCGGUAAUACGGAGGAUGCGAGCGUUGUCCGGAAUUAUUGGGUUUAAAGGGUGCGUAGGCGGGUUAUCAAGUCAGCGGUAAAAUCGUGGAGCUCAACUCCAUCCAGCCGUUGAAACUGAUGAUCUAGAGUGGGCGAGAGGUAUGUGGAAGGCGAGGUGUAGCGGUGAAAUGCAUAGAUAUCACGCAGAACUCCGAUUGCGAAGGCAGCAUACCGGCGCCCGACUGACGCUGAAGCACGAAAGCGUGGGGAUCGAACAGGAUUAGAUACCCGGGUAGUC
This 459-nucleotide ribosomal RNA is filed under the name uncultured bacterium. RNAcentral describes it as "partial 16S ribosomal RNA". It matches the Rfam family "Bacterial small subunit ribosomal RNA", at positions 338 to 795 of the family's 1533-position model. The record is from RNAcentral.